RNAcentral lists this ribosomal RNA (501 nucleotides) under uncultured bacterium. Its description in RNAcentral is "partial 16S ribosomal RNA". It matches the Rfam family "Bacterial small subunit ribosomal RNA", at positions 29 to 523 of the family's 1533-position model. The record is from RNAcentral.
AUUGAACGCUGGCGGCAUGCCUUACACAAGCAAGUCGAACGGCAGCACGGGUGCUUGCACCUGGUGGCGAGUGGCGAACGGGUGAGUAAUACAUCGGAACGUACCUUAUCGUGGGGGAUAACGCAGCGAAAGCUGUGCUAAUACCGCAUACGCCCUGAGGGGGCAAGCGGGGGAUCGCAAGACCUCGCGCGAUUAGAGCGGCCGAUGCCUGAUUAGCUAGUUGGUGGGGUAAAAGCCCACCAAGGCGACGAUCAGUAGCUGGUCUGAGAGGACGAUCAGCCACACUGGGACUGAGACACGGCCCAGACUCCUACGGGAGGCAGCAGUGGGGAAUUUUGGACAAUGGGGGCAACCCUGAUCCAGCAAUGCCGCGUGAGUGAAGAAGGCCUUCGGGUUGUAAAGCUCUUUUGUCAGGGAAGAAACACCGGCUCUAACACAGUCCGGGAAUGACGGUACCUGAAGAAUAAGCACCGGCUAACUACGUGCCAGCAGCCGCGGUAA